Molecule: ribosomal RNA, 366 nt
Filed under: Polyphylla gracilicornis
Lineage: Eukaryota; Metazoa; Arthropoda; Insecta; Coleoptera; Scarabaeidae
Description: partial 16S ribosomal RNA
Source: RNAcentral
ACCGUGCAAAGGUAGCAUAAUCAUUAGUUUUUUAAUUGGAAGCUGGAAUGAACGGUUGGACGAGGGGAUAACUGUCUCAAUUUAAUUGGUUUAGAAUUUUAUUUUUAAGUAAAAAAGCUUAAAUGAGUUUAAAAGACGAGAAGACCCUAUAGAGUUUUACAUAAGUUGUGAUUUAAAGGCAUUAGUAUUUAGUUAUUUGAAUUGUAUUUUGUGUUUUGUUGGGGCGACAGAAAAAUUGAAUGAACUUUUUUUUUAUUGGUACAUUAAUAUAUGAGUAAGUGAUCCGUUGAUAACGAUUAUAAGAUUAAAUUACCUUAGGGAUAACAGCGUAAUUUUUUUUGAGAGUUCUAAUCGAAAAAAGAGUUU